Molecule: ribosomal RNA, 553 nt
Filed under: Ailuropoda melanoleuca (giant panda)
Lineage: Eukaryota; Metazoa; Chordata; Mammalia; Carnivora; Ursidae
Description: partial large subunit ribosomal RNA
Rfam family: Bacterial large subunit ribosomal RNA
Source: RNAcentral
CACCUCCAGCAUUUCCAGUAUUGGAGGCACUGCCUGCCCGGUGACAUCAGUUAAACGGCCGCGGUAUUCUGACCGUGCAAAGGUAGCAUAAUCAUUUGCUCUCUAAAUAAGGACUUGUAUGAACGGCCACACGAGGGUUUAACUGUCUCUUACUUCCAAUCAGUGAAAUUGACCUCCCCGUGAAGAGGCGGGGAUAAGACAAUAAGACGAGAAGACCCUAUGGAGCUUUAAUUAACUAAUUCAAAAAGAAACUACUAACGACCCAACAGGAAUAAUAUAUCUCUUUUAUGAAUUAGCAAUUUAGGUUGGGGCGACCUCGGAGGACAAAAUAGCCUCCGAGUGAUUAUAAAUCUAGACUUACCAGUCAAAAUGCUUAAUCACUUAUUGAUCCAAAAAUUCUUUUGAUCAACGGAACAAGUUACCCUAGGGAUAACAGCGCAAUCCUAUCCGAGAGUCCAUAUCGACAAUAGGGUUUACGACCUCGAUGUUGGAUCAGGACAUCCUAAUGGUGCAGCAGCUAUUAAAGGUUCGUUUGUUCAACGAUUAAAGUCCU